UACGUAUGGAGCAAGCGUUAUACGGAUUUACUGGGUGUAAAGGGUGCGUAGGUGGUAUGGCAAGUCAGAAGUGAAAACUAUGGGCUCAACCGAUAGACUGCUUUUGAAACUGUCAAACUGGAGUGCAGGAGAGGCAAGUGGAAUUCCUAGUGUAGCGGUGAAAUGCGUAGAUAUUAGGAGGAACACCAGUGGCGAAGGCGACUUGCUGGACUGGUACUGACACUGAGGCACGAAAGCGUGGGGAGCAAAC
Molecule: ribosomal RNA, 250 nt
Filed under: uncultured prokaryote
Description: partial 16S ribosomal RNA
Rfam family: Bacterial small subunit ribosomal RNA
Source: RNAcentral